UGGGCGGAGCCUGACGCAGCAACGCCGCGUGAGGGAUGACGGCCUUCGGGUUGUAAACCUCUUUCAGCGCUGACGAAGCCUGGCCUUUUUGGGUUGGGUGACGGUAGGCGCAGAAGAAGCACCGGCUAACUACGUGCCAGCAGCCGCGGUAAUACGUAGGGUGCGAGCGUUGUCCGGAAUUAUUGGGCGUAAAGGGCUCGUAGGCGGCUUGUCGCGUCUGCUGUGAAAGCCCGGGGCUUAACUCCGGGUCUGCAGUGGAUACGGGCAGGCUAGAGUCCGGCAGGGGAGACUGGAAUUCCUGGUGUAGCGGUGGAAUGCGCAGAUAUCAGGAGGAACACCGGUGGCGAAGGCGGGUCUCUGGGCCGGUACUGACGCUGAGGAGCGAAAGCGUGGGGAGCGAACAGGAUUAGAUACCCUGGUAGUCCACGCCGUAAACGUUGGGCGCUAGGUGUGGGUUCCCUUCCACGGGGUCCGUGCCGUAGCUAACGCAUUAAGCGCCCCGCCUGGGGAGUACGGCCGCAAGGCUAAAACUCAAAUGAAUUGACGGGGAAUCGAAUUCCCGCGGCCGCCAUGGCGGCCGGGAGCAUGCGACGUCGGGCCCAAUUCGCCCUAWGGGNRGUCGUAUUA
RNAcentral lists this ribosomal RNA (627 nucleotides) under uncultured bacterium. RNAcentral describes it as "bacterial SSU rRNA". It matches the Rfam family "Bacterial small subunit ribosomal RNA", at positions 372 to 1254 of the family's 1533-position model. The record is from RNAcentral.